CCCCCCCCCCCCCCCCUAUUCAUAGUAAUGAUAAAAAGAAUUAAAUCAAACAUGAGCUUAUUUCAAGUGUGCUUACAAUUAGAAUGCACAUAUGACAGAAAUUGUGAAGAACUAUGAUUCAAAGCAUGUUCAUUAAAAAAAAUAGAUUUACGAGUUAAGCCUAUUUAGUUUCCCAUGUCUAUAAAAUAAAUUAACUCCUUCCCUUCCCUUUGAGUGUAUGUCAUCGUUAAAACAACGUCUAGUAAUUACCAAGUAUUUCUUCUGAACAUCAAAUGGGUUUAUCAAAAAAAACAACAACAUUCCGUUGUAUAAAUCACUUAAAAGAACAAAACCACAUCUUUUUCAGUUCUUUGCAUCUGUUUUUCUUUCAUAGGCCAUCAUCAAAGAUGUGUUUUUGUUGAAUGUGUAGCCUGGCUGAAUUGAGUUUGUCUGGUGAAAGUCAUCAGAAAUGUGUUUUUGUUGAAUGUGUAGACUGGCUUAAUUGAGUUUGUCUGGUGAAAGUCUUCAGAAAUGAAGAGAUGGCCUUAACCUUAACACAUGCUCUUAUAAACCACACAAAGUGAAUGUGGUGUGAAUGCUAAAGUUUUGUCUCACUAAUUGGUAUGAAGAACAAAUUUUGUCCAAACUUUCUGAUGACAUUGUUGUAUGUUGUUUUAUAGGAUGUCAGGAAGGAAUUGUUUUGUUUUUCGUUAAGAUUAAAAUUGUGUCAUUAUGUACAUACAAAAUAGAACAAAAAGAAAUUUUAUAGCAUUUUAGAAAGAUUUGAUUGGUUAAUCUUUUAGUGUUUUCACUGUACAAACUAUCAUAAAACACUCAGUUUGAUUGGUCAAUUUACAUUGUUUUACAUACCAUAUUUUACUGGUUUGAAUGUAAAUAUUUUUUUUUUACUUUUUUUUUAUAUAUUAAGUUUCAAUCAAAUGUUAUUCAACAUUCUGAGUGACAUGUUACAUUUUGAUUGACCAUGGACUGACAGUGGACAUCCCAGACAGUGAAGAUACAAACACUUGGCAUUAUCUUAUUAAGUCAAUCAAUCAGCCAAUCAAAAAUGAAAUUAAUUAAUUGAUGAAUUUGAUAACUGUUUUAAUACAAAAUUCAUAAUACUUGAUUUAAAGUCUUGCUAUCCAUUUGACUUUUAUUCAAUGUGAGUCUUGUUUGAUAAAAGCAUUGACUGCACCUUUGUCCAUAGACUCGUGCGUCACUUUAGGUCAUAGGUCAACACAUGGUUCCAGUCUUAUCUUUAUUGUUUGUGUUCCAUGAUGACAUUUUGUGCUGUACAUACAGAGAAUAGGUUGUGAACAAAGAGGAAUUCAUAGAGUCUGUACUUGACUUUAUAGGACUUAACUUAGUCUGUACUUGCUACUUGACUUUAUAGGAC
Molecule: non-coding RNA, 1375 nt
Organism: Biomphalaria pfeifferi
Lineage: Eukaryota; Metazoa; Mollusca; Gastropoda; Planorbidae
Source: the annotation of a GenBank genome assembly